Molecule: small RNA, 287 nt
Filed under: Podarcis lilfordi (Lilford's wall lizard)
Lineage: Eukaryota; Metazoa; Chordata; Lepidosauria; Squamata; Lacertidae
Source: RNAcentral
CAGCGGCCCAGCUUAUUUCUGAACAAUUGACCCUUGGCCACAUUGAACCGUCCUCAUCUCCCUGGAACUCCCCAAUUUUCGUUAUUAAAAAAAAAAUCAGGUAAAUGGCGUCUUCUGCAGGAUAUGAGAAAAAUCAAUGAACAAAUACAGCCAAUGGGAACUUUACAACCUGGCAUGCCAAAUCCAAAUAUGCUCCCGCGAGAAUAUCAGUUGGCGGUGAUUGAUUUAAAGGACUGCUUUUUUUCUAUCCCACUAGCCCCAGCAGACAGGGAACAGUUUGCUUUUAA